UCGACCGCCGGGGCGGCGAUCCCUCCAGUCCCUCGCUCUUUCGUGCCUUCGGGCCUCCGAGCGGUGCGCGCUGCCUGUGCCAUCUACCCGGUCCCUUGGGAAGCCGACGCGACCCACACGCCAGUCCGCCCCCUCCCCGCCUCGUCGGGCGAGGGGCGGCCGCGGCGCGGGCGUCGCGCGCCCCCGGACAAAGCGGCCGUCAGGCCCCCGUCCCGGCCGGGCUCCCGACGUCCCGCGAGCGCUCUCGGAUGCGGCGGAUGCUGCGGGUUUCGGGGACUUCGUUUCCCCGACCCGGACCUCGGUCGGUCGUCGAGCCGCCCUCGUCGAGAUUGACGUCCGGCCCGCCGUCGGGCCCUUCCGCCCCCCGCGGGCGGGCGGGCGACCCCGCGCUAGCGGCGCCGAGCGU
Molecule: unclassified non-coding RNA, 406 nt
Filed under: Tillandsia bulbosa
Lineage: Eukaryota; Viridiplantae; Streptophyta; Magnoliopsida; Poales; Bromeliaceae
Description: partial external transcribed spacer
Source: RNAcentral